GGUGUAGGCGGCCAAGCAAGUCAAAUGUGAAAUCCCUCGGCUUAACCGAGGAAGUGCAUCUGAAACUGCUUGGCUUGAGUAUGGGAGAGGAAGGCGGAAUUCCCGGUGUAGCGGUGACAUGCGUAGAUAUCGGGAGGAACACCGGUGGCGAAGGCGGCCUUCUGGCCCAAUACUGACGCUGAGACCCGAAAGCGUGGGGAGCAAACAGGAUUAGAUACCCUGGUAGUCCACGCCGUAAACGUUGGGUACUAGGUGUGGGAGGUUUAAUACCUUCUGUGCCGGAGCUAACGCAUUAAGUACCCCGCCUGGGGAGUACGGUCGCAAGAUUAAA
Molecule: ribosomal RNA, 331 nt
Filed under: uncultured bacterium
Lineage: Bacteria
Description: bacterial SSU rRNA
Rfam family: Bacterial small subunit ribosomal RNA
Source: RNAcentral